This 232-nucleotide unclassified non-coding RNA is filed under the name uncultured Entoloma. Its description in RNAcentral is "sequence contains ITS1". Lineage: Eukaryota; Fungi; Basidiomycota; Agaricomycetes; Agaricales; Entolomataceae. The record is from RNAcentral.
UUGAAUAAAACUUGGUCCAGUUGUUGCUGGCUCUUAAGAGCAUGUGCACGCUUGGUCCAUUUUUUAAUACCUCCUGUGCAUUUUGUGUAGAUUUAAACAUCUAUCGAGGCAACUCGGUCAGAGAAUUGCUGUGUGAAAGCCAGCCUUUCUUGGGUUUAGAUCUACAACUUUACACACUCCUUAUAAAAGUAUUAGAAUGUAGACAAGGCCAUAGUGCCUUUAAAAUGAAAUA